This is a long non-coding RNA of Drosophila ananassae, 377 nucleotides long. RefSeq lists it as uncharacterized. The record is from RefSeq and is a predicted model, not a curated record. The transcript is spliced from 2 exons. Lineage: Eukaryota; Metazoa; Arthropoda; Insecta; Diptera; Drosophilidae.
CCCCGACCCCUCGCAGAAAAAAAAGGCACUUGAAAAUGUCUGGGAGGGUUUUGUUGGCCUUUUUCGGUUGUUUUCUGUGCCGGGUUGUGCCGGGGAGCACAUGGCGGACCUUAACAAAGUUUCACUUGAAAAUUAAGUUGCCUUCCUGGCUACUAUGCGAAUUCAAUAAAUUUACUUCAGGACAUGCGGGUGUGUAUUAAAAAGGACAAUAUAAAAAAUGGAGUUCACUGCCCCAGUGCUAAGUAUCAACCUACUCUUUUUUUUUAAUAACUACACUCCUCAAGCACCUCCAUUUAAAUGCAUAUAGAAAUGUAUACAUUGCUUCGAGAGUAAGGAAAUAAAAAUGGUGGCUCUACCGUCUUUCAUUUUGACAAGAA